UAAUACAGAGGGUGCGAGCGUUGUUCGGAAUUAUUGGGCGUAAAGGGCGCGUAUGCGGUGCGGUAAGUCACCUGUGAAAUCUCCUGGCUUAACUGGGAGUCUGCAGGCGAAACUACCGUGCUGGAGUGUGGGAGAGGUGCGUGGAAUUCCCGGUGUAGCGGUGAAAUGCGUANAUAUCGGGAGGAACACCUGUGGCGAAAGCGGCGCACUGGACCAUAACUGACGCUGAGGCGCGAAAGCUAGGGGAGCAAACAGGAUUAGAUACCCUGGUAGUCCUAGCCCUAAACGAUGAUUGCUUGGUGUAGCAGGUNCCCAAUCCUGCUGUGCCGCAGCUAACGCGAUAAGCAAUCCGCCUGNGGAGUNCGUCACAAGGCUGAAACUCANNAGAAUUGACGGGGGCCCGCACAAACGGUGGAACAUUUUGGUUCAAUUCCACGCCACGCGAAAAACCUACCUGGGCUCGAAAUGCAGAGACCGGGGUUGAAACAUCCCUUCCCCUUAAAA
This 504-nucleotide ribosomal RNA is filed under the name uncultured bacterium. RNAcentral's name for it is "bacterial SSU rRNA". It matches the Rfam family "Bacterial small subunit ribosomal RNA", at positions 521 to 1023 of the family's 1533-position model. The record is from RNAcentral.